CCCUGCAUUACGCUUUGUGAUCCCUAAACACCUUCGCUCGGCUGUUCUCCACGAACUUCACGACCUCUCCACUGCUGGUCACCUGGGUGUGUCACUUACCUACGACCGGAUCCGCCAACGCUUCUUUUGGCCAAGGCUUGCUCACUCUGUUCGAAGAUACAUAGCUGCGUGUGAGAAAUGCCAGCGAAGCAAUACCUCUCGAUGCUCCCUGCUGGGUACCUUCAACCACUCGACAUUCCCGCGGAACCAUUCUUUCGGGCUCCAAGAUGCUGCUCACAUUUGAUCACCACUUUGGACUCUAUUGUCUCUGGACGUACAAGUCAACAGUCAAUGUGUCACCACAGAGCCAGAAUCCUCACAAGGAAGAAGGACAAAAGAGAGAUUAUUGGUUUGCAAGCUGCCCACGCCAAGCCAUAAGAAGCUCUACAGUCACUAUAAUGAACACAGGUCUUCUUGAACUACGCGCCUCACCAUGAAAUGUUUGCAAAUUUACCAGAUAGAGGGCUGUGCGCACUAUCAGGAAAGCAGCAGUCUAGUUUAGUGUGGUACCGAGCGGGAAUGCUAAAAUUUGACAUACAAGUUUACUUGAUUAUAAGGGCGUUUUAUGACAAUCGGAGAAGUAACAAGUUGAGUCCCAACUUGUUUCUUUUCUUGUCAUGUAGCAAGCUCCUACUUGGUAAUGCACAAACUCUGUCAUCUGCUAUUUGCGAAUCAGAUUGACGAGCAUUACCACCAAGUAUCACAUGCUCCCUCAUAGCGUUAGUUUGUUACAUGAAACUGCAAAGAAUUUGAAAGCCUUCAAAACCGCUCAGUGCAA
Molecule: long non-coding RNA, 817 nt
Organism: Dermacentor albipictus
Lineage: Eukaryota; Metazoa; Arthropoda; Arachnida; Ixodida; Ixodidae
Source: RefSeq, a predicted model, not a curated record